CUACGGGCCGCUCCAGUGAGGAAUAUUGCACAAUGGAGGAAACUCUGAUGCAGCAACGCCGCGUGGAGGAUGACGCAUUUCGGUGUGUAAACUCCUUUUAUAUGUCAAGAAAAUGACGGUAGCAUAUGAAUAAGCACCGGCUAACUCCGUGCCAGCAGCCGCGGUAAUACGGAGGGUGGCAAGCGUUACUCGGAAUCACUGGGCGUAAAGGACGCGUAGGCGGGAUAUCAAGUCAGGUGUGAAAUCCUACAGCUUAACUGGAGAACUGCACUUGAAACUGGUAACCUAGAGUAUGGGAGGGGGAGAUAGAAUUAGUGGUGUAGGGGUAAAAUCCGUAGAUAUCACUAGGAAUACCUAAAGCGAAGGCGAUCUCCUGGAACAUAACUGACGCUAAGGCGUGAAAGCGUGGGGAGCAAACAGGAUUAGAUACCCGAGUAGUC
This 440-nucleotide ribosomal RNA is filed under the name uncultured bacterium. RNAcentral describes it as "partial 16S ribosomal RNA". It matches the Rfam family "Bacterial small subunit ribosomal RNA", at positions 339 to 795 of the family's 1533-position model. The record is from RNAcentral.